ACCACAGUCAGUCAUGAGUCGCCCUUGGGUUGAGAUGUGGACAUGGACACUGUUUGUCUGCCUGAGUUGGAUAUGUGUGAAUCAAGCAGCGGCAAGGCCGUAAGUUUACUCAAAAUACUUUCAAAUUAAUCAGAUUCAAAUAUUUGUUGCAGCAAGCAGAGUUAAAAGACUUUUUUUUAUUUGCUCCAGUAUAAGAAACUCUGUCAAGAACUUGACCGUACUUAAAUGUUUUUCUCUCUGUGUGUAGGCAGUACAUGGUGGCCAUUCCUGCGAUCAUCGAAGCAGGAACUGAAACACCUCUCUGUGCAAGUCUCUUGAAGCCAGAUGAGACUCUGGUCAUGACCGUUACUUUAAGGUUCGGAGAUCAAAAUAUGACCCUGAUGGAGGAGACGUCCAGCCAGGCAUUUCACACCUGCAUUAAAUUUCAGGUCUGCUGAGUGAUUUUGCAGAUUUCCUCAAAAUUCUUGGAAAACUUGUAAAAGUGGUCAUUAAUUUAGCCUCCAAAUAAUAAAUCAUAGUUCUCUACAUCAAUAAUCAUAAAGCAACAGUCUGUUGUUGUUAUUAUCAAUAUUGUAAAAACAUCAGUAUCCAAAGAUCAUAGGCUUUGUAAAAUAUUCUGAAAAAAAAAAGUUCAAGAUUUUUUCAUAAUCAUUGAAAACCUAUAAUGAACUGAAAAUGGUACAAGGACAACAUAUUCAAUGUUGAAACAGAUUUUUGUAGAUUAAAAUAUAUAUAUAUAUAUAUUUUUUUUAUUCGACAUUUGAGCUAGGGUCAUGUUUUCCGUUGUGUUGCAUAACAACCUUUAACAAAACUGUGUAAAUGUUUGGGUACCAACUGACCAGUUUCUGGAGUUUUGAAGGUGAAGUUUUUUCCCAUUCUUAGGAUCCCAGCUGCUCAACAGUUUGGCCUCUUUUUUCUGUGUAUUUCUGUGUUAUGAUGUGCCAAAUGUUUCAAACAAGUGCGAAGGCAGACUGUUGGCAGGCCAUUUUAUCACCUGGACUCUUUUGCUUUGCCUACGUGACUUGGCAUGUUUUUGCUGCAUUAUGAAAGGUCUACCCUGAAAAAAAACAUUGUCUGACAGCGUAUGCUGCUCCACCUUUGCAUCCCCUUACCAUCAGGGCUUCUAGCUUUAGAAGUUAGCUUGUGGUGGUCCUUCUCCUCUUUAGAAUGGAUUAUGCAGUGUCCAUGAUUGAUGGUAUGUUGCUGUUGUCCCGACCUUUUAGGAAUGAAAUGCUGGCAUCAAAUUUGAAAUGAGAGUACGACUAGAUGAUUUGCAAACCAUCCAAACCUGUGAAAGGACGGUCUUUCUCAAAGACCCUUGAGAUAAAGGGGAAUUUCUCUUUCUUUUUUAUAAGCUAGCAUUGAAGUGCCAGAUCAAUGUGGGAUCAGUUUGGAGCAUACAUCUUUGUUUUUGACUGGUUAACAUUUAAAAUACAGGAAGUCAUCAGGAGGUGUUUUGAAUGAGAGUAAGACAGAGCUAUUGUGCUUCACUCAAAAGGAUCUCAAAGUCACUUUGUGCCAAGUCAAAGUAAACACUCUGAAGUAAAAUCAGCAGCUCUAGACACAGCAAUAUUUACUUAAUACUAAUGAGUGACAGUUGCCAGCAGACACGAGUUUUAGCGUGAGAUGCUUACAAAAGCCUGAAAUCAUUGAUAAUAAUUACAGAUAAUUAUUCUUCUAAUUGCAUUAAAAUGAUGUUUUGUCCACAGCCCCCUCUUGUGCAGAGUCAAUUUCAGGUGUUGGUGGUGGAGGUUCGAGGACAAACAUUUUACUCAAAAGAUGCCAAAAAAGUCAUGAUCAAAACCUAUAAACCCAGAACAUUCAUCCAAACAGAUAAACCGGUCUACCUCCCGGGACAAACAGGUAAUUUUGAUUAGUUUUCCUGUGGUAAUAGUUACUGUAUGGUACCACGACAUGGGUAGUAUUUCAGUCUGUUAUAUGUGUUUUUUUAAGAAUCUGUUAAUUUUGAGUAUCUCUUUGGUUGGAAUUAAAAUCAACAUUUUUUAAGAUUAGAUUUAUUUUUUUUUAUAGUCAACUAGUGUAAUUUUUUUCUAUAAUCCCAAAAAACAUUAACCCUGUAUUCUAUCUUUGUGUCUUGAUGUGUAUGAAAUGCUCAAGCGGUGAACUCCCCAUGAUUAAAAAAUGAAGCCAUUGUGGAAGUGCAAAAACCUGCAGUUUCUCAGAAGUCCACAAACCAUUAAAUCCCCACUAGAGCCACGAUAAAAUGUUUGGUGUCAAUAAUACAUAUCCCAAUAAAGAGGUUAGAUCAUUGUUCUGAAAUUAUUGUCCUUGUGAUUGGCAUGCUGUGUGUGUGUGGUGUGCUCUCAUUUCCAGAUUUAUACUCCUAAUGGAGAGUAUUUCAACUCAUUGACUCUACAGGCUCAUUUAUCACCAUGAGCUGCUAGAUUCGUAAUAUUAACCAAUUUUCACAUGUUUUAAAUUAUUAUUCCAAAAGAGAAAUCUUCUUAUGCUUAUUUCCCUUCAUGAUAUACCUCCUUGAUGCCUGUGGAGGUUUGUCAGAGUGGAUAAACUUUAAGAGGUGCAAGUAAUCAUUUUGUAUUCUUCAGUGCAUUUCAGAGUCGUCUCACUGGACAGCAAGUUGAGACCUGCCAAUCUCUUAGUGAGUAUUUUGAAAUCCUUUCCUUCCUUUGAUAUUUUUUAAAUUGGAUGCAGACAGAAUAAAUCUUAGUAUAUUUCAGUGGAUUUAAAUUAGGAGUUAAGUUGCUGCAUUUUCACGUAAUGAGUAUCUUGAUGGCUAUCCAGAAUACAACUGGGCUGUUCUCGAUUUGCCCACUGUGCAAUCUAUUCUUCACAUAAUGAACCUCAACACAACAGUUUUCUGUUUCUAUGAAAAUAGAGACAAAAAUGUCCUUUAACAUAUUUCUCUACAUUUCCUCUUUUUUCAGUACAAAGUCAUUGAAAUUGCGGUAAGACACACCAUUUAUUUUUCAGUGCAGAUUCAAACUGGUAAAGCUUUCUUUGAGUGCCUUGAAAGAAGAUGAAUUUUUAAACUGAUGAUUUUCAAAAAGUCAAUUUUUCUCAAAUGUGUGGCCCAGUUUCACUUAACAUGUAGGAGGAAAGAGAGUAGCAAAAAUUUAACAUCAGUUUCACCUUUAUGUCAUGCAAACAGGAUUCUCAAGGUAACAGAAUUGGACAGUGGCUGCAAAAAAGCUCAAAUGGCAAAAUAUUGCAGCUGUCUUACUCGCUGAACUCAGAGGCUCGUGAAGGAACCUAUAAGGUGGUUGUGCAAAUUGAAGGAGAGAAAAUUGAACACAGUUUUAAGGUGGAGAAAUAUGGUAAGUUACUGUAAAUCAUAGAACCUUUCACAGGAAUAUGUUGCAGUAAAGCAGCACUGUUGAAAAAUGUAACUUCUUUCACAGUUUUGCCAAGAUUUGAAGUAAAAAUUGAAGCUGCUGAGACAAUUAGUAUCGUGCAAGACAUUGAAGCUCAAAUAUGUGCAAAGUAAGUCCAAACUCUGUCACUCCUUCACUCUUGAAUAAUCAAAACUGAAUUAAAACAUUUAAUAACUUUUUUUAGAUAACAGGUGUGAAACAGAGUUCUUAAUUUCUUUUUUUCUGUUAAUCAGUUUCUGAACACUUUCACAUCCUGUACCAUGUUGAAUGUUUACUUCAUGCACCACUGUUAAUUGUACAGUUUAUGUGUCUUUACCCUCCCCAGCAUUUUCUUAGCUGUUGUCUCUUUUGUCCUUUUCCCACCAUUAAGACCUGACAGACCUCAAAACAACAGGACUUCUUUCUGUGCAUUGAUAUGAUUGCAGCUGGUUUAUCAGCCUUUGAUUUGAGCUGUCUUUGUGGCUUGAAGAUACAAGCUGCUACCAAUCCCCAAAAACUUCAUGUUUGACCAACAUUUUGUUCUCUUUAUCCAUGUAGGUAUACAUAUGGACAGCCUGUGCUGGGAAAUGUUACAAUUGAGUUACAAAGACCUCUUAGUGGCUAUCACAGAUUCAACUUCCAUUUCCAUUCCAUCGUUGGUCCAACUGCUCCAGUCCACAAGGAGAUGAAACAGGUACAGCUGCUCUUCUUUCUGCUGGAGAAAGAGGUUAAACCUCAGACUGGUCCGGCACACCAGAGGGUGACAACCCCUCCCCCACAGUUCUGGAAGUCAGCCGACUGACUGUUCGCCUCCCUCAGUGGCGCUCAUGUGCAGUCUCACUGUGGGUAGCAAGAACCGUUGCUACAAGCGACCGUUCACAGUUCAGGGCCCGGCUGCCUCACUUUUAUUCUGUAAUACACACAGUUGUGGUAGAAGAAGCAGCAGCAGUUCUGAGGGAAGAAAUAAAUGAGCGAUACAAGUUAUUCUCAUUUCUGAAACGAACAAAGGUUGGUACAGCCAUCAUUUCGUUGUUCUUAAAAAAGAAGGAGGGCUCUGUCCUAUUCUACACUUGUGAGUGUUAGAUAAGUACCUACAAACGUACAAGUUCAAGAUGCUAACACUCAGACAGCUACUGAGUGCGCUCAAACCGGGAGGUUGGUUUACAACUAUUGAUCUGCUUACUGUGGCGACUACAUGCCUAUCCGUUGAGAGGUCCAACCUAAUCGCUCAGGGUCUGACCCCAACUGUGGUGGCAACAAUUCAGACUGCAAGGGUAUCAUUUACUAAGGGCCUAUUUGCCUUCAAAUGGUGGAUGUUUGAGCAGUGGUGUCAGGACCGAACUGUACCCCCAUUCUAGUGUUCUGUUGUGGAUGUUUUAACAUUUCUUCAGGAGCUGCUGGAUAAGAGUCUCUCUUUCUAAACAAUUAAGGUCUAUUUGGCGGCUAUAUCUGCAUGCCAUGUUGGCUUUGAUGGUUUGACGCCAGGCCUCUUGCUAUGGGCUUCCUAAAGGGAGUCAGCAGGCUUAGACCUUUGCUUAAACCCAGCAUUCCCUCAUGGGAUUAACUGCUGGUGCUUGAGGCUCUUGGUGGACCCCCAUUUGAGCCUAAUGAGUCCGCAGACAUGAAACUUCUUUCAUGAAAGACAGCACUGCCACUGCUACUUUGACGUCUGCAAAGCAAGUGGGCGACCUUCAUGCGUUGUCUGUACAUCCCCCUUGUAUCCAGUUUACUCUGGAUGGAUCUAAGGUAACAUUGUGCCCAAAUGCAGCAUAUUUGCCUAAAAUUAUCCCCACAGUCUAUAGUGCUAUGAGUUUUUAUCUCUUUAGCCUUUGCCCCCUCUAUUUACAUCUGACGAGCAGAGGAGGUUGCAUCCUUUGUGCCCUGUGCGUGCACUACGCACUUACAUAGACCGCACUCAGAGUGUGCGCUUAUGUGACCAGUUGUUUGUCUGUUUUGCUAAUCCAGCCAAGGGCAAGGCGCUGUCUAAACAGCAGCUUUCCCACUGGAUUGUGGAGGCUAUCUACCUAGCAUACAGCGGUAGGGGUCUUCCGUUGCCCCAAGGUGUGAGGGCACAUUCAGCCAGGGGUAUGGCGGCCUUAUGGGCCUUGUUUAAAGGGGUUUCUCUGAGAGAUAUCUGCACUGCAGCCAGUUGGUCAUCACUGCAAACUUUUGUUUGGUUUUAUUGUUUGGAUGUGACAGCCCCUUCAGUGGCUCACUCUGUCUUUUCUGCUGGGUGUGCGAUGCACCAAAGUUUUGGAGGUUUGACUCCGGUUCGGUGGCUGCUCUGCGGGGUGUGUAUGUAUGUCCCAUACUAUAUGUGUUGUGUCGAGUGAAUGGACUGAAAGGGAACAAAAUGUUAUGAAUAUAACUUCUGUUCCCUGAAGGAGAGGAACAAGGUACAACACUGGGUUGUGUCACCACUGAUCAUCUGCCGUAAAGGCGAGAAUAAAGGUGUCUUCAGUCAGGAAAUGCGGGGGCGUGAUAUCCCAUACUAUAUGUGUUGUACCUCGUUCCUCUCCUUCGGACAAAAUGUUAUAUUCAUAACAUUUUGUUAAAGCUUACUGUAUAGCCUGUAUUUGAUGUGAUUUCAUUUCAUCUAAUUGAACUUUCCAGACAGAUAAAAGUGGCUGUACUACCUUUGUCGUCAAGAUGUCCACCUUCACAAAACUUGACAAUACACUUGUGGGAGAUGCUCUGCAGCUCAAGGCCAGUGUGGAAGAAGAGGGGACAGGCAAGUCUUACUUUUACAUUUUUAAAAGGACAGUAAUGUCAUUGGAGAGGUACAAGUAUGAUAUAAUCCAAACUGAGCAGGUGGUUAUGCACAAAAGAAUCCAGACAAAGUGAGCAAGGAUCAAAUUCUGAUUUGCACAUCCUGAUUUACAUAACCAUUCACUUAAUCCUGUGUGUUUCGUGCAGGUAUUUCACACCUAAAUCACAAGAGGAUGGAGAUAUCCUAUGUCAUUGGAAAGUUUAUCUUUAUUGAGGCCCCCAAGAUUUAUGAGCGAGGAUCAAACGUAGAGGGAAAAGUAAGUACCAGCGCUCACCACUUUCUAAUUAGAUCCUUCACACAUUUCUACCUUGAGCUCUUUGUCAUUAAACUUUGUGCUGUUUACAGGUCAAAGCAGUUAAAUAUGAUAACACACCUAUCCCUUACAUGCUGGUGUACCUGCUUGAUAGUCAGCGGUCCACACAUGUGCUGCAGAAUGUAACUACUGACAACGAGGGAAUCGCCACUUUCUCGAUUAGCACAGCUGAGUUUGAUGGGGAUAUCAACCUUGUGGUAAGUGGAAAUGGAGACUUCUCCAUGUAUUUGUUUCUCUGGGUUUAUAGCUCUGAAAAACUGCUGCUGUAAAUCCACAAUCCACAGUUACCCUGUCAACAGAUUCUAUGAUGUACAAAUUACUGAUAUAUUGUGAAAUUGAUUUUUAUUUUUUCAUCUUGGUUUAACUUAAUUUUCAGCGCUAAAUACCUGAGACUAUCUGGCAGACACAGUUAUUUCUGUGAUAUUACAGUUAUUACAGCUCAGUCUUCCCCUUUUAUAGCCAACACAGACUAUUUUUACCAUGUAAACAUAUUGGGUCUCAUUUGUGUUUCUAAGCACAACUAAAUCUUUGCAAACCAUGUCCAAAUUCUUGUUUUCAGUCCAUUUUGACUAACACUGAGAUCAGUGUUUGGGUUGAAGUUUCUUCAAAUUAUCUAAAUUAACUGGUAGAGUUAAACCUGUCUGGAGAUUGAUAUCCUUGUUUCCAUGCUUAUUUUUUGGCUAGUUUUUCAUUCAUUCAAUAUUUAGAGGGACCUCAUACAGUGCCACUUUAAAAAGACUAAACUGUCCCUUUGAAAAUUAAUGCAAGCUGAGCAGAGACAUGCAACUAUUUGAAGUUUUUACUCCUUUAUCCAGGCAAGCUACAAACCUGAAUUUGAGCCUGAAAAGUAUCGAUCUCCGGUUUUUCAAUCUGGAAGGCACAAAGUGUCGUUGGCAAAACCUUUAACUCCAGAUGUUAAAACAAUCAGCUCCCUGGAGGUGCAGAAGAAGGAUAAACCAUUUGCCUGUAACACAGUGGAGGACAUUUACAUCAAGUUUUUUAUCAUUGGUGAAGUCCAGGGCACUGCAGACGUGAUGUAUCUGGUAUGUAAGCCAUUUAUCAGUGCAGUAACUUUUAAAAACAGACAAACAAAAAAUACUCUGCUUUCAAAGCUAGGAGGUGCUACUGUUCCUCUGUGUCAUUUAAAUUGGGCAGGUCUUAUCCAGAGGAGCUAUUGUGAUGCAAGGAAUUGAGCAGAUUGAAGUCCAGGAUAAACUAAGUAGGAGGAAAUUCUCUUUUAUUGUGCAGUCAUAAAUUAAUGUGAAACUAUGAACCAACUUUAGCAUGCAUGCUUUGAACUACAUGAAUCAGCUAUAAGCUGUUUUGUAAUAUGUUUAAAUUGUUUUCCUGUUUCAGUGACUGAGGGUCAGAUGUCCUUUAAGUUAGCAGUGUCUCCAGAUAUGACCCCAGAGGUUCAAGUUGUGGCGUACACCGUUCUCCCCAGUGAGACGGUGAUUGCCCACAGCGCUGCGUUCACCACCGAGAAAUGCUUCAGUCACAAGGUCAGUGUGCAGGCUGAUGUAGGUGUUAGGGGAUGUAAUGGUAGAGGUCAAUACAAAGUUGUGUCACAUUAAGGGUACUUGUUUUCUGUGUGUUAGGUGUCACUGGAGUUUUCCCCAUCUUCAGCAGUCCCAGGAGAGGCCAACACUCUGCAGGUGACCACCCAUCCAGGCUCUCUGUGCGCCCUGAGUGCUGUCGACCAGAGCGUUCUCAUCAAGGAGCCCGGGAAAACUUUGGACACAGACAAGGUAAAGACUGAAAUCAACCAGAUGCCUUUUGGUCUUCUUUUAGGACCAGGCAACAUCAGAACAGAUGGCAACCUCUUUGAUUCUUACAAAGCCAUGGUUGGCUUAAGGCAGCCAUCCACUGCACCCUGCUAUUUGCUUUUUGACAGCAGGAACUUUUCCCAUAGGAACUCGAAACCUCUUUGAAGAAUUCAACCUAUUUUGACUGCAGAAACAGAGUCUAAAUACUGACUGGGAAUUUGAUCCAUCCCUCAAAAAGUCCCUGCCUCAGGGAGGGUAUAAUGAGUGUUGUUUCACAUAAGACAUGUAAAAUCACUUUAUUCCACCUUGUGUAGAAGUUUAAAGUUAUCCCUUCCUCCCCUACCCAUCCUGAAAACUCUCAUAAAUUAGAUUUUUUAUCAAGAGCGAAAGGGAGGAAGGCAUGGAGAGCCACACAAGGAUCCCACACAAGAAUACAGUGUUCAAAGAGACACAAACAAUCAACAAUAGUACAUGGAGACGUACUGAUGCAUACUCGGUCUACACACAAAUGACAUUGGGUCUCAUCAAUGAAAUGUGAGCAGAACAAAUUUGUAUUUAAACUGUGAGCAGAAUAAAAUUUAGAAGAUACCCUGUUUACAUUCUUGCAUAUUUACUGAGUCCUCAGGUACCAGAUCAAGAAAAAAAAAAGUGUAGAUUCAGGCCUGGUAUAUACAUACCCGGUUAUUUUUAAAACGGAGACAUUAACCAUCAUUUGCACUCUUCGUUUAGAGCCAAACUGAGAAUUUACCCCCAAAAAUGAUGCUUUAUAAAAACUCCAGCCAAAGUGGAGAUUUCAGAAAACUCUAUUUGCACGUUUGCAUGUGAACCGAGAAAAACAGAGCUUUAGGUAGCCGACGGCAGAUUAUGCGCAGUUGUUGCUGCUAUGCAAGAUUCUGAUUGGCUAACGUGGGCUUGAGCUUCUCGCUACACUUCUACCCACAUGUUUGAUAUGCUCUUGACAGCAAAUAUACAUGGGUUACUGUAAAUGAAAACUUUUCUGAAAAUGUAGUGGUGUGCUGUCUGUUUUUUUUUUUUUUUGUAAACAGAGAGGGUGAAAUGUUUAUGAAAAUAGCCAUGCACGUCUAAACGUAGUCUCAUGCACAUGCAUUUGCAGUCCACACACACAGAUUGUUAUCCACACUCAGGGAUUUCUCACGUAAUUAUUUUUUCAUUUACCAUGUUGCUUCGGGGAUGUAAACAUAUAUAUUUUAACUAGAACUCUAACCUAUCAAUCGAGGACAGGGUAACCCACUGAAGCUGUGGCUGUUCACUCCACAGACCUGCCACACACUCAGCUUAAGCUCCUUAUAUACCCAACAUAGGCUAAGACUGUUCGAUGGUGGAAAUUUGACUGAGUAGUAGCUAUCAGGAGAGUACAGUCACUCCUUAAUCAAUUGACAUUCAUAAAGUUAUUCAUGCCACUUCAAUCAAAUCCAGGGUUUUCCACAGUGUUCAUGAAUCAGGAGUAAAGUUAUUUUUAUUACCAAUGAUGUUUAUGUGUAAGUCUACGCAUACAUUUACCAACAUGUUACGAAUGAAACCCAUUAAUAGUAAAGAGUGUGGGUCCUAUGACUAAACCUUGUGGCACGCCUAUUGUAAUGUUGACAAAACUGGAGCACAGGCCACUGAGCUGCACAUACUGAAUGUAGUUAAGCCAGUCAAUGGAUUGGUCUGAGAGGCCUUUACCUCACAAUCUGUGACAUUAAAUGUCACUGUUAACAGUACCAAAUGCCUUGGAGCCAUUGAUGGAAAGUGCUGCGUGAUAAUUUUGGUGGUAAGCUAGAAGUAAUUGCACAGCAGCAUUGCAUUGUGGGAGAGGCAAAAUUGUCCAAACUAGGUAAAGGAGCCCACAUAUUACACACAUUAGUGUGCUGAGAGGGUGAAGGUUGCUUUGCAAACUUAUCAAAUCCUUGAUACAAAAGGAAAUUGGACAACUUUGUAAUAUUUAUAUUUCAAACUGAUCGGGGGAAAAAAUGAAAACUAUCUAACUGAAUUGUCUGAUAUUUCAAGUGGAAAACCACAUCACACCACUUUUUAGCUGAUAUUCGACAGUAGCUAACAAUAGUUUCCUUAUGCUCUCUAGCAUUAGCUCAGAUUUAAACACCAGAGGCUGCUGGUGUUUGCUUACCAUCCAGGUAGGUUUGCAAAGGACCCGAACCACUCCACUGACUCCCUCUGACAGGAAAAAUAUUUCUCCUGAAGGAAACUCCUUUUUGCUGCUCCAGGAUUGUAACCAUCCCUUUCUUUUCAGAUAUUCAAUCUGUUGCCUGUUAAAAAAGCUUCUCCUAUUCCACACGAAGUUGAAGAGGAUCAAGGAUGCUUCCAGAUGAGAUAUAGAUCAACUGGGCUGUACCCGCGCCGUGCCUCUGAUGAUGCAUACAACGUUUUCAAGGUAAUUUUUACACUACGUUCCAGUGCUAAAAUUUUAUUUGUUUCAUAAACCUUCACUCUCUUUUUUGUUUUUUUUUUUGCUCAAUUAUCCAGAAUGUUGGAUUGAAGAUGGCGACCAAUUUGUUCAUUAGAACACCUACCUGCAUCAGAUUCAGAGGAGAGGAGUUCCACCGCGGCUAUGAUGGUAAGCUUUCACAUGUCAGUACUCCUUGGUAUUAGAUACCAACUUUUCCCUUGUUUUUAACAUUCAAACUUUUUUUUCUCAUUAGAUUGAGCUAGAGAGACAGGACAUACAAGGACAGAAUGGGCAGUGACAUUCACCAAAUCAUGUCAGAACCUGGAAAUGAUAAUGUGAAAGGUUUUUUAAAGGUGAUGAAACAGGCUGAAAUUUAUAUCAGUGCCCUGUUAUGCGCUACAAAAGUAAACCAAGUUAAAUCAGUGUAAAGAUUGGUUAUGUCUUUAGUUAUUUUUAGUAACUAAAGCUUCUCCCUGAGUACCUGCCAGACCAAGUGAGUCACAGCAUGCUAAAGACAGAGCUUUGAUCAAUGUUUUUAUGGCAAAGAAUCUCAAUGGAAGAUAGUUUGGCAGGAAUCAGUUUUUGUUCUAAACCCUGUGUACACAUAAACAGGACAAAUUCAACAAAGUUUAGAGCUACCACUUGUCCACAGGGGGCAACAAAAUGAACAAAAUCAAAAGCUGCUCAGAGGAGCUUCCUGUGACUGUUAUCUUUUAUUUAUACAACCUAAAACAUGCUGACCAGUCUGAUUUUAUAGUCAUUCACCUACUCCUUCCUAGGCAUUAGAGCUACGCCUAGGUGUAACUGAAAAAAAAAAGGCUCAGAUGUAACUGGUGCACAGGACCAAUCUUUAGAGCUGUCAUAACUUAUAGCUCCAAGUGGCACAAAAGGAUGCACCUCAGGCCUCAGCUCUACACAUGCACUCAGUCUCUGAUGAUGGUUUCUUGUAGGUUGUCUCUUCUCAAAUCUGGAGACGUUUUUAAUUUCUGAUAAAAUAUUUUGUGGUUUCUUUACAGGUCCUGUUUUCCAUCAUACAUUUAAUAGUCCAAGGUGGGGGAUAACAUUAGGCUAUGCUCCUGGAGUGAUGAUGAAAUCAGGAGUGUUAGAAGCUGCACCAGAAGCUGCACCUGUAGAGACAGUCCGCAGUUUUUUCCCUGAGACUUGGAUAUGGGACCUGGUGGAUGUUGGGUAGGUUUCCAUCACUUGACGGCAAACUGUAUCAGAGAUUUUCUAACUUUUGUACAUGAUUGUAUGAUGUAUGAUUUUCCAGUAAGAUGUUUUUGCCCUAUUUAACACUGCACUCAUUGUAAAACAGCUGAGUUCUUCUCUGUAUAAAAUGUUAGAAUCGCCCCUUGAAUGUGAAGAUAAGUGGUACAUUUUUGGUAAGAAAUUUUUGUUUCUGAGGUCCCUGCUCCUCCAGCUCUAAGAAGAGGCCUGCGUGUUUUUGUGUUUCUGCUCAUUCAGAGAGACUGGAACAAAAGAUGUGCCCCUCACCGUCCCUGACACCAUCACCACCUGGGAGACGGAGGCUUUCUGUUUGUCUCCUCAAGGUAUCAGCUUGGCUCCUCGUAAAGAGUUCACUGUCUUCCAGCCCUUCUUCCUGGAGCUCAGCCUGCCUUACUCCAUAAUCCGAGGGGAGACUUUUGAGCUGAAGGCGACUGUCUUUAACUACAUGAGCAGCUGCAUCAUGGUAAUUAAUGCUGGAAAUAAAGUUUAUAAAAAUUAAAGUAAAACUGCGUGUCUUAAAAAAAAUCCAGUAAAGCUAAAACAAAACAAGGCUCUUCAGAUAUAUGUGUAAAAUAAAGAAGUUCAUCACCCCUGUGUGGUAGAGGAGAUGAUAAUGGAAAAGUCUUCUUUUGUGCUGCUGUAACAACUUGCUUGUAAUUUUUCCCCAGAACGGCAUCGAUCAGACUGUUUUAUUAAAUUCUGUUAUUGAGGUGUCUUUUCAGAUGAAGAGCUCUUCAAAGCUUUAAAAAUAGUCUGUUUUAAACUCUUUUAUCUUGAUGACUUUUUACAAUUAAUUUAUAAAAUAUGAAUUUGUCUCUUUUGAACAGGUUACCGUGACUCCAACCCCAUCUUUGGAUUACACCCUCACCCCCCUCUCUGGUGACCAGUACACAUCGUGUUUGUGUGGCAAUGAGCGCAAGACCCUCAGCUGGAACAUGGACCCCUCAGCUUUAGGUGAGGGUCAGGCUUUUGUUCCCACCUGUGUUGACAAGUUAAAGAUUGAAAAUAGGGCCGUUUAAAUAUGGCAGCGAGAGGGCAAUAAAACAAUGGAGAUGAAAAGGCCCAGAGAGUUGCUAUAAUGGCUAUGAUUUGUUCUUAACGGAUCUGAGCUGUAAAAACAAAUAAUGACUGGAACAAAUAUUUCAUCUACAUUGCCUUUUUGUUAUUAUUGCUAAAACAGUGUGUCACGCAAUAACAUGUCCUGCCCAAAACAGGCCAAUAAAAGCACCAUUUCAAAAAAAACCAAAGCAGAAACAAAACACAGAAAGGGGUCCACUGAGUGGAUUGUGGGCAUUAGUAGGCAGUAAAAAUGUGCAUUUAUUCUCGCUAACUGAUAUGUCUUAGAUCCAGUUCACAAAGCAUAGUUUUUAGUUUUGAGACUUCUGUGGAGUUCAUGUUUUGUGUUUGAUUUUGAAUCUGUGCUGUGCUCAUUUCCUAAACCUCCAGUACAGCCCACUUCUGUCCUCAUAUAAACAGUAGAUGAUGAGCUAAAUACUAGUGGCAAAUAAACUAUACAAAUUGUUUUAGGUCCUCCAGAGGUGGAAUCUGGAGGUUGUCAUAAAAACUGGAACAUUUGAGCCGGACAUCUGUAAAAAACAAAGCAGCUCAGUCUCACCCAACUCUAAGCAGAUGUUAAUUUUUUUUUACCAAAAGAAAAACCUUCGCACUAUCUGUGUGUGACUGUGAAGUGGAUUGUUUUUGCAAUGAGGUUCAUUGGCAAAGAAAGGGGCUGAUUUGGGCCUAAAUUAAUCAUUCAUGGAUCACAGAAAUUUGUGCAGACAAUAUUGACAUGCUGUUUACUUUGAACUCUUCAUGUGUGUUUUGUAAUUUACACGCUGUCUCUGUAACCCUUUCCUGAAUCAGGACAAUAGAUUGCACAUAAUAACAAAUGUAUACAUCAUCCUAACGUCUCAUUGAGGCUUUACAAACCAAACUAUAACUACAACAUCUGCAGCAUAGUUUGUUUGUUUUUUUACUUUAUAAAAGAUAAAUUAUUUUUAUACCAGUAAAAUCCAACAGUGAGAUGUAAAGACUAAAGAGGAGUUUGUUUUUUGUAUUUUUAGGUGUUAUGAAUGUGACUGUGAGCGCCGAGGCUGUGGCGUCCCACGCUUCCUGUGACAAUGAGAUUGUGAGCGUCCCAGAGAGAGGUCGCAUCGAUGUGGUCACCAAAUCCCUCAUAGUAAAGGUUAGCACCUUGAAACUUUAUUCCAUAUAAAAGAAGGAGACGGCUCUUAAACAUGAAACCAAAUCCUCUAUGGCUCCCUGAAUGACUGGCUGCAGUUAAGGUCAUAAGAUACAUGUCAACAGUUUUUAUUUUAAACAGGUUUUCUGUCAUUAUAGUUAGUUACUAUCCAGGCAAUUUCUGUCCAGGUGUUUAUUUUCUUGAGAGAAUAACUUUUCAUGAGAUCUUUGAUGCUGGACACAGGGGUGUGUGAUUGACAGCUCUGUCAACAAAUGAGGCUGCUUUAGAGCUCUGUGUCCAGGAUCAGUCGAGGACUGAGGAGGAACAGAGAGAGGAAGCAUAACAAAAAGCUAGAUCGGCAUUCAGGGUGGCAAAAAUCUAUUUAGACCUUGCCUCGACUUGCCAGCAGAAAUGACUUUAUUUAAUUUGGAUCAGCUCUUCUUUUAAGGGUAACAGUUUUAUCCACAAAAUUUUGUCAAAAACAGGAACUCUGAUACAAACAUUGUUUUCUCGGCCCUCAGGCUGAAGGAACUGAAGUGACAAAAACCCACAACUGGCUGCUUUGUCCAAAAGGUCUGUGUGGUUUGUAAAAAGAUCAUCAACAUCCCAAUCUUAUCAUGUCAUUGUAAAUUAAGAUCUUUAAGUACUGAGUUUUUCAGUUUAUCUCAAUGAAGGUUUUGUUCUCCGUCAACAGAUGAGGCUUUGACAGAGGAAGUAGACAUACAGCUCCCUGAUAAUGUGAUUGAAGGAUCUGCGCGUGCGCUUGUUUCAGUCCUAGGUAAAGUGAUGUCUCUCAUUUGAGUGAUCUACUAGUGCUCGAGUGUUGGUUCUUUUUGACAUGGGAUUCCUUCCUGAAGAGACAGUAGAAAACUGUGUUUUUGUGCAGGUGAUAUCCUGGGUCGAGCUCUGAAGAACCUGGAUGGGCUUCUGCAAAUGCCAUAUGGAUGCGGAGAGCAGAACAUGGCCCUUCUGGCCCCCAACAUCUACAUCCUCCAAUACCUGAAAAACACCCAGCAACUGACCCCAAAAAUCAUGGAGAAGGCUUCUAACUUCCUGACCAGUGGUGUGUGUCUGCAGUUUUAAUAUCGGAGACAAACAAAAUAAGAAACUCCCCCAACCAAGAUAAAACUGAUAGUACUAUGACUUCAACUUUUUCACCUCUGUGCUUCCCUUCAGCCAAUAUUAAACUCAUUCAUAGCAACAAAGUUUAUGUAAAAAUGCAGAAUCUACAUUACCACACCUGGACCUCAGUAAAAUCCGAUCCGAUGUGUAAAUGUUUAAGUGAUAAUAGCAGGUAUUUAUUCCUCUGUCACAGGCUACCAGAGACAGCUGAACUACAAGCACAGUGAAGGUGCUUACAGCACGUUUGGAACGGGAUCAGGAAACACCUGGUGAAAAUAUUUCUGAAUCAUAAUUGGAUGUUUGCUUAAAUAAUACACUGAUGUUUCUGCAUAAGUUUAAAGGCUUGUAUUUUGUGCUGACUGUCAGAGUAUUUGAAAUAUGACCACUUAUGUAAUCCUGGAUAUGAGUAAAGUCAGGGGGUAGUCCAGUGAUCCCUCAGGGGUGUUAUGUUGGUUUCAAAGAGACAUUUUCUCGACAGUUUAAUGACUGAUGUGUCUGUUAGAGGUUUUUUUUAAGUUUUCUGACAGUUAGGCCACAAAGUUAAACUCAGUCCAUAUAUGGAAGCUGAUCUCAGGGUCAGCCCAUAUCAACUUAGAGCUCUGUCAUUUAUCUUUUACACAUCAAAACAGGAGUUUUCCUAAACUGCUUUAGCCUGCCGACUCCUUUGCAGACCACUCUGUUAAAUGUAUUUUCUCUGUUGUCUGUCAUGCACAUAAUUUAAAGGGAGGUGUGCUCUCUCAGGCUUUGGCAUUCAACAUACUCAUGACGAGGAGGAGAGAAAACCCCAAGAGCAGCUUAAACUGCUGGAUAAAACUUAUUGCAUGCCAAACAAUAUUGUGUCUAAUGUGGCCCUGACUAGAAACAAAAUUGGGAAGAAUUUAUUGGAUAUAAACUGAAUUUGAAGUUUGAUCCAUGUCCCAUCUGUUAACAUGGAGGAGAUAAGCUUCAUGAUCUGUCAUGCAGCUUGUCAGUAGGCUUAACUUUUGGGGAGCCGUCAUUCCAUUAAUCUUUCUGUAUGCUGUUAUGAUACAGGCUGAAAUGAAGCUGAAAUGAACGGGUGGAUAGAUAGAAGAAGUGAUUAUUAAGAAAUAAUGAACAAUUCUUAACCAAUCAAAAACAAGUAUUUAUCCAGACCAUGUGAUUCUGUGUUUGUUAUCCUCAGGCUGACGGCUUUUGUGUUGAGAUCUUUUGCCAGAGCUCAGAAUUUUGUCUUCAUUGACCCAAGACACAUCAGACAGUCAACAUCCUGGCUGAAAAAUCAGCAACGGGAAACCGGCUGCUUUGUAAAGUCUGGGAAACUUUUCCACAACAGAAUGAAGGUAAUAUUGUGUUGUUGUUUUUUUUGUUUGUUUUUUGUUUUCAUCUUUUAAACUGAACUUUUUGCACUAAUUUAACUGAACUUUGUCCACCACACCUUCACACUGACUUUUUCUUUGUGUGCUAAUAAUUUUUUCAUGUACACAGGUGAAAUGAAUGAAUGAACAAGUGGAGAUGUCUCAUGUUGGAGGGCUGAUAUUUUUAAUUUUUUAAUCUUUUUGGGGUAAAAUAAUCCAAUGCAUAGUUAAAGGCAUACCUAAUCUUCUUUUUAUUUCUGAACACCUUUUGUUUUUUGACAUAGUAAUCUUUAUUAACAGUAUCAAUUGUUACAUAUUGUGUCAAUUAUGUGUUCGCUAGUGCAGUUGUAAUCUUUGGUUACCAAAUUUUCGUGUGGUGUCAUUGACACUGAUGUUUUGGGAAAAAAACAUCAGAGAUGCUAUGCUACAAGCAGCAAAUACAAACUACGUAGACUGGAUCCUCAGUCGCGUUCCUAUGCUCGCCUGUUUUGUUGGGAACCCUUCUGCAUCAUCAGCAGGUAUCUCAGGGUCGCAGGUGUUUCGCCCCUUAUCCAGUGCACCUUGCCUGAGUGGGGCUGCGGAGGCUGGUUAGCCAUCGCCUGCAGAAGGGUUCCAACUUUGGGCCCUCUUCAGCCACAACCAUCUCGAGCUGGAUUCUGCCAUUGUGGCUAUGUCCCUGAUGACUUUCUUCAGCUGUUUGGGCUCCAAACCAAUUCUCUGGAGGAAGAAGCACACCUAUUUUGCUGGGAACCCACGGCAGCCGACCUCAAUGGGGAAAAUGGUUGCGUGCCACCCUUUCAGAGCUGCCUUAUCAAUCAGGUCUUGGUACUUAGCUUUUUUCAGAUGGUGGGAUGUGGCUAGCCUCUCCACCCAGGGCAAGGGUAAGUUCUGCCACUAUGAUGGUUUUAGUGCUCUUGGAAAGGAGGACCAAAUCUGGUAGGAGGGAUGUUGCCACUACAUCUUGAGGGAAGAUGAGUUUCCUCUUCAGGUCCAUGUUCAACUCCCAGCCGGAGGCUUUCUGCAGGAUGAAAGGUAGAUUUUUAGCUGCUGUUCUGCUCUUAGGGGCCUUGCCACCCUCCUUCAGGAAUCCUAUGGCAUUAGGUGGUUGGGUGACCUUGUCAUGCCUCCACCUGUAGCGUCCCUCUGCUAAUGCUUUAGGACAACCAGUCAGAUUGUGAUUCAGUGUGCAGUAGGCUGCUCCAAACUGUUUGCAAGAUGGAUCUUCCUCUGCACCCCAAAUCUUUAGGUUGCUUGGGGUUGGCAGCAGAUCAGCCACUGCUUGUAGGAGGAAAGACAGUUCCCCUGGUCAGUUUGCCAUAGGUCCUUCCAGGACAGUGGUUGCUCCAGUGCCUGGUCCCACUGUGUCCACCUACCUUAGGAAGCUAGCCCUAUUACUAGUGCUCUUUUGGCUCUGGCGUUGGCUUUGCUCUACCUCUUGCCAUCAUUGUUUCCAAGACCUAAGUGGCCUUGACAUACCAUGCCGACAAUCUCCUGAUAUCUCCAGUGUGCUUCUGCCUCAGUCACUGCCUGCUGAGGCCUCCACUACCUGCCGCACUUGAUGUUCUUACUUGCAUGCCUCACUUUCCCAUCUUCAGAUGAGAAGAGUGUACUGACUGCCCUUGCCUUGGUGGUUUUGAAUUCCUCAGCCACCGAUCUUACUGGUAGGGAAAGCUUUGAGGUCUUGCUGUAAAGAUUGACUAAGCUGAAAGAUGGAGGGACGCCCAGCCAUUUCUGCAAGAGCUUGCUACGGAGCCUCCCCAUCCCUUCUACUUGGGACAUGGGUAAAUCAUAGAGCAAAAAGGGCUACUGCAGUUGAGAUAUGAUUCCAUAUUGAAAACACCACACCUGGAACCUCCCCAGCUGUUGGCUGUUAUUGAUCGCCUUAAGCCAUGUGUUAAGCUGGUAAUUGUUGCUGGUGAGGCCUUUCCAAGGCCCCUGAUGCCUUGCACUUGAAUUCUUGGGAUGUCUGAGCCUUGGAUGCUAAAGAUGUUUCCUUUCAGCUUCCCUUUCAGGAUGCUGAGGUUCCUUGACUUCUCAGGCUUGAACUGCAGCCGGGCCCUUGUGGCUGUCUUUUCCAAAGCACUUAGGAUCCAUUGUGCUCCUUGGAUUGACAGAGUCAUAACGGUAAUGUCGUCCAUAAAGGCUCGGCAGGCGGGGUGUCUUGUGCCGUCCUCUGCUUUCGGGCCCCUGCACUGUGAUCUUCCUACUUUGAGCAGUAGGUCUAAUGCAGCUAUGAAUACGGUCACUGAAAUCAUACAUCCUGCCAUGAUGCCCUUUUAUUGUAAAGUUAUUCUUUACAAAUGUCACUAUUAAUCAAGAACAUAAUGGGAUCUGCUCCGAUUAAAUACGUCAUCAAUAUUUUUAUUCUUGUAGGCACGAAUUGUUGAUCAUAUGUUUUUUCUAAGUUGUAGUGCAACUUUCCACCAUUAGCUAGGACUGUAGCACUGGUUUUUGAACAUCCCUCUGUUAUAGUUAAACAUUGUGUAUUAUUAUGGUUUUAGAAAAAAAUAUUAAACCAAGAGGAGCUCAUUAAUAUAUUUAAAUUGCUUUCAAAAAAAAAAAAACAAUAACAAUAAUACCAGUUCACCUUUUUUUUUAAGCUUUGAUUAAAAUAUGGACUUCAGACUAAAUGAAAUGAAGAAGUAUUAUUAGGUCAUAAAGAGCCUGUUAGUUGGAGUGACGUCUUUGUUUUUCAGAAUAAUUCUCCUAUUCCAGCAUCCACAGCUGUUUUACUGACAGUCACAUGAAUGAGAGAUUUUAGUCCGGAUGUUGGAGGGUCAGUGAUGUUAACUUUCUGUCAUAAAACUUCCUCUUUACAGGGUGGUGUGUCUGAUGAAGUGACCCUCAGUGCGUACAUUAUUGCUGCCUUCCUGGAGAUGAACUCGUCUGUUAGUGUGAGUAGACUCUUAAAGGACAAACAGCUCAGGUCUUUUUCUUGUUUUUCCUAGUUUUGUAAGAGGAACUUGUCCUGCUUAUUGACUUAAAACCACUGCAUGUACAUCCUGUAAAAACGCAGUGAGACAAAGAGUUUUGUUCACUUGUAACCUUUUUAUGUUUUUUCUUGAAUUUACGAUGAAGAAAGUUCUUUUAAAAAAUGUAAAUCCAUUUCACGACCCUGCUCUUGAAUUGAAGAUGUGCUGGAUACAAUUUUAAUGAGUUUUCCUGAGAAUGGUAGAAAUGUCUUUUAUGGUAAAAUGUUCAAAAAAGUUGUGAAGGGCUCAGUCCUUUCAGGAAAGUGAGCAUUUUAAGGUCAUUGAUCACAGGAUCCUGUAGUGGAAAAAGGUCUGUCCUGCCUCAGAGCGUCCCUGGGUGACCUCAGCAACACCUACGCCACGGCUCUGAUGGCGUACGUCUUCACUCUGGCAGGAGACACGGACACCCGAGCUCAACUUCUGAGGCAUCUUGACACAGUUGCGAUACACAAAGGUCGGUAACCAGCUCAAAUAAUUCUUUCUGGUAUCAUCCCUGAGCAUGUAGCUCACCCUGUGUCUGUUUCCCUGUUUGUGGCUGAUUUUAGGAGGGUACCUCCACUGGUCUCAGACAGCAACAGACACCUCGUCCUCCUUGUCUGUGGAGAUCAGCUCUAAUGUGUUGUUGGCCAAACUCAGCGUCCCUCCGUCUGUCGAAGAGCUGGGCUACUCCACCCGCAUUGUCAGAUGGCUGACCACCCAGCAGAACUAUUAUGGAGGCUUUUCCUCCACACAGGUACCACAGAAACAAAGUAAACUGGAGCAAAUAUGGGACAGAUAUGAGAGACAGAUAGUGUUCUUCAAAAUGUCUGUUUCUCUGAAAAAUGUGCUCUCUAAAGGCUCUGAUCAGGGAAUUAUCUUACUUUAAAGAUUAGACAAAAUGGAAAAUCUAUUGAACUAUAAAUACUGGGAUCAUGAAAAAAAUACUGAUCUCAGCUUGUGUUUGUGUGUGUGUUUAAAAAUAACGGGCUAUUGUCAAUAUCUUUAUGAAUUUUGAGUACCGUUACGUCUUUGUCAGAGACCUACAAUUUCUCCAUCAUAAAAUAACACUUCUCCUUCAUAAUAACAUUUCUGUUUGUGUGUUUUAGGACACAGUGGUGGCUCUUCAGGCUUUGGCUCUUUAUUCCACUCGCGUGUUCGGUCCAGAGGGUUCAAGUACCGUGACUAUCCAGGCUCCCAGCGGUCAGUUGUCAUUUGAUGUGAACCUGCAGAACAAACUUCUCUACCAGGAGGAGGUGCUGAAGGACGGCGAAGGAAAGUACAGCCUGGAAGUGAGAGGAACUGCAUGUGCUUCAAUGCAGGUUAGUGAACAAGCUGUCUGUCUACUUUGAGACAAGGGGCUCUAUUUUCGUUCGCGCCGGUGAGGCGGCGGAGGGCGGCGAGCCCCGCGCAGUUGUAUUUUCGUCUGGUGGAGCCCGGCGUAAGGCGAGUUUGGUAUUUUCGUGGACUGAGUCGCACGGAGGCGAGCCGAGAUCCGCCAAGCUGGGCGUGGUGGCGUGGCAGGGGGAGGUGUUGACAGAAUCAGCUGGCGCAGUGACAUUUUCGUGCUCGCCACUGGCGUGUAACGUGCGCUGAAAGCUCGCCGAUUCAAACCUGGUCAGCUUUCAGCGCAAGGCGGAACGCAGCUGGUCAAGUAGUAUUUUGGUAGACCGGCGGCGUAUCGACAUACGUCACUGAUGCCUCACCGGCAGGUUUCCACAGUGUCAGGCAGAUUUCAGUGCAAUAAAUAAUGAUCAACAACUAUUAAUCUGAGUCAGCACAUACAUUUAGAUCUAUAUCGAUAUAUUCUGAUCUAUAUCUGAUCUGAUGAGCGCGUUUGGCACGCGUUUGGACACACAACCUGACCGAAUCAAUACAGCUGAAACCGCAUCAAAUUAAAUUAAAUAUCUAGUAAAUAAACACACAUGAUGAAGUUAACAAGAUAUGUAAUGUGUCUCCCUCCUUUUCUUUCUUCCUCUUCCUCUUAUUUCUCGCACAGCUCGACCUGGACACGUCUCCGUGUCCUCUGUCCGUCUUCCUGCUGCUGCUGCGGCUGAACAGAUGAUUUGUUUCAGUGCUCAGAUGCGUUAUCUACUUUAAGCCGACAUACGGAUAUUAUAAUAUUCAGUUUUGUGAGCCAAAUUUAUUUUAUAUGCCAACAUCUAUGAAAGAAAGAGCCAGGCCACGGAGCGCGAUGCGUCAUUUACGCACAGAUGGUUCCGAUUUUAAUGCCUUUUUGGAGUUUAUGUUGUGAUCUGUGCGCUCAACCCACCUUUGUCACGUGAGGUUUGAAUAUAUGCAACUUUAUGUGAGUGUCUUUAUUUGUGGAAAAGGGUGUUUGUCUUACCAGUGGGUCCAACAUUACGCACACCAAAUCCAUCUGUGCUCAGAUGAGAGAGUGUGGAGGACACUUGUUGAGCAGCUGCCCUCUGUCGCCAUCGUGUGGCAUAACUGUCUUCAGACAUCUCUUGAUCUCUUUGACUACUUCAUGAAAAUAGUAAUACGCCUCGCCUGUGGCGGAUUUAAAGGCGAGGAGAGGAGCUAAUGUGAUUGGUGAAAACAGGUCUCGGCUGUGUUAAACCCCCGAUACGCCCUCUCUUCUCCCCGUCUAUGAUUUAUGCUGCCGGGAGGAGCUGAGUUAGGGAGGGGGGAUACUUACGCCGGGCUGCGCGGCUCACCAAAAUACCAAAAUGUGCUUGGGAACGCCUUGUCAGCGCGGCGGAUCUGAUUGACUCUGCGCUUGCGGCACGUCUCCGGCGAGGCACCAAAAUAGAGCCCAAGGUUUUAUCCCAGGGACUGGGAGGUGAUCAUUCCAACCAUGUCCUGCCAUAUCGUAUUGUGUUGUACCUUUUUCUAAUAUACUCCACCUACUCAUUGUGUUUCCCCUGUCAAGAGCUUGUUGCGUCAUAUUGUGUCCUUUGCACUUUUUUAGUUGUAUCAUCAUUUACCCCUUCAUACCAUAAUGUCAUGAUUACUUUGUAUUACAUUACAUUGAUUACAUUGCACUGUAAUUUGGAUAGUGAUUAACUGAAACAAAGCCUGAAGUGGCUAAUGCAGUGAACAAGGUGAAAAGAUGGUCAGUAGCUGCGUUUACAUGGGCACAAAUAAUCGGAAUAAAUGCCCGAUCAGAAUAAAAAAGUGUCAUGUAAAAAUGUCAUCCGGAAAAUUCUGAUCCAGUUCAGCUCAAUCUGAAAGAAAUUGUAUUCCAAUUGAGAAGGGUGGUUUAUGCCAAUCGUUAUUCUGAAAUGCGUCCAUGCCACACUUACUCUGAUUGUGACUCUCUUACCUGACUCAAUCUUCACUCUUUGGCCAUUGGUUUAUUUAUGGAGACCAGUUGACGAGGUUUCACUAUUAACACUCUGGCAUAAAAUACGCAACCUUUGACAGAACAGUCAAAAAAGUACACAAGGGCGUCAUCUAGUGACAACAUUUAACAGGGAGAAAGCUCCUGAAUUUGAUGGAGUGAGCCACGACUGCGUAUGUUGGUUUGUUGACAGCACAGGCGUAAAUACAACUCUUCUUCUGCAGUUGUUUUAGCGAAAUUAGACAACUCUGCGCAUGUCCAAAUGCUUCUGAAUAAUCUGAAUAAAGCUUGGUGCAAGUGUAUGCACAUCAUGAUCAUUUGAUUUUCUGCUCAUAUUGACAGUGGAUUCAGAUUAUCCGAGCCCUCAAAUCUAUCAGAUCAAGAAAUUUGCCCAUGUAAACAUGGCCAGUGUGGAAACAGUUAUGAAUGCAUGUUCACAAGGCUCCACCCAGAAAUCAGUGCAGGGAAUGUGUUUAUGUGCAGGGUUGUCAUACAACGAUAGAAAUAAAAACAAGUUUUGGCUUUAACACGGUAGGUGGCAUUUGGAUUUUUUAGCAUAAAAAGUGUCAUAAGAAGGUAAUUUGUCAUAAGAAGGUGAUUUUCAGAUAGUCAACAUGUGAUCCAUUGGCAGUGAAAAUGGGGAAUUUUCUUAUUGACAGAGUUUACUUUGUAAGCUGGACAAAGUUCGGCUGGUGUUAUGAUUAGUGAAAAUCUUAUACUGUUGUUGUUGAUCUGUUUACCAGAUUUCUCUUCACUACAACAUCCCAACUCCGACUGCUGGCACCACGCUCAGGGUGGAGGUCCAACCAGAAGCCACCUGUACAAGCAUUUCUAACAGGCGCAGGCUUACUCUAAAGACACAGACCUUGUAAGAUGAUUUAAGUUAGCUGACACAACUCUGAACCAGAGCGUUAUCUCUUUUGGUUUGUUGUGUUUUCUUUCAUAUGUUUUCGUCUGCUCUGCUAACAUGGAGCAUCUGUACUGUGUUUUGUUACAGAUACUAUGGGGAGGAGGACACUACAAACAUGGUGAUACUUGAUAUCAAAAUACUGUCAGGGUUUGUCCCAGACCCGCAGUCUUUGGAGACGGUGAGUUUCUUUUAUACAGUGACUUUAACCUGAGAUUUUUUUGGAUGUGAUGGUGAGGAAUAACAUUAAUUUUGGCCAUUGAUUGACUUGAAACUUACAAAGAAUAUCACUUCACGUGUUUACACUCACUUCAUCACUUUACACUUUCCCAUUUCACACAAUAAAGUGCACACCAUCAUAGACCAAAAAAAAAAAAAAAAAAAAGGCUGAAGCACAAGGGUUAUUGUUUCAUAUCCUUUACAGUCUGCAGUAUAACCCAGGACACUUCAAAAUUAAUAAUAAUAAUGAUCUAAAAAAACAAAACAAACUUUAAAGGGGACCUGCCAUAAAAAUGUAAUUUUUGGGGUUUUUUGUGUCAUAUAAGGUCCAUAUUAUGUUCGUCUUAUGUUGUACAUGUGAAAACAAACCGUUACGUCGUUUGCAUUCUGUAAAGGUUUAAAAUCAAGGAACAAGUAAACCAGGCCAAUUGAAAAAGCAGGUCGGUGAUACGUUGCGCCGACCUUGCUCAUUAUUAUUCACGAGCGCGUCCUCGGUGAGCCGCGCCCACUCUCUCGUUCUAGUACUCAGUCACAGCCAGAGCGAGACCCAGCUACCGCUGUAUCCGCUAUGGGUCUCUUCCAAAUGACCGGUGUUUCCUUCGGUUCACUGCCGGGAAAAUGAACUUAAAGCCGGGCAGAAUGAAUGAGAAAACACCGCUGGAGAUCUCCGGCUUCUUCCUCAACUUCCACCUCCUCUUUGGACUCGGGGUCUAAAAUAUAUGGUUUAAUACCUGCCGUUUUUAGCCUUUAGCAUAAGGUGACCAGACGUCCCCGAUUUCCGGGGACAGUCCCCGUAUUGGAUGAUCUGUCCCCGGCAAAAGCUGUCCCCGAAAAUGUCCCCGAUUUAAGCGUUUCAUUAAUGAGAGCAAAAAUGUUGAGUGUGGGCUCGAACAACGGUUAUUACAGUAGCCGAAUUUAGUUAGCAGUCCUGAACAACAGUUCUUACGGGGGUUAUUACAAGGGGCAUGCGCUGCUACUAAAUAGUACCGAGACUUUGUCUGUGAUCACACAGCCCCUGCAGCCCCUGCACCACCGCCGCCGCACCGAAUAUCCCCGGAUAUCAUUACAGAUAUCUGGGCACCUUACUUUAGCACACAUUAGCAUAUGCUAUUAGCAUUAGCAUAAUAACAGUGGAUAAACCGAAAUCCGAACCUCCACUGCUGAGCCAAUCAGAGCACAGCAGGCUUCACAGCAGCGAUCCAAUCAGAGCAAAGCUCAUUACCAUAAAUGUUAAUGAGCCAAAACCAGUUGGUUUUCCUGUAAGGUUUUUUAGGCAUACUAAAACAAACCAUCAAAUAACUUUUCAGCUAAAAUUAUGUUGCAAACAUGAUCAGAGGACAUCAAGGAUUAUGAAAAAUUGAUAAAAAUGGGUAUGAAAUUUUGGUGGCAGGUCCCCUUUAAUAAUAACAAAAGCACAUUUCUUCUAAAUUACAUUUAUCAAUGCUCAUUCAUUUUUGUUAUGAUUAUUGAUUUUUUUUUUAUUUUGAGACUCGUUUAAAACUUCUUACAGAAUUUUAAACUCAUAACUAAAAUUAUUUAGGUUUAACUGCAGAAACUGAAACACAUCUGUAUUUUAAUUACAUUUCGUUUUACCUGUUUUCAACACACACAUCCCUCUAAAAUUUUAACGACCUUUUCUUGAUUUUAACAAACUUUGGAUGGAAACUGGCAGACUGUGAUUCUUUGUUCGAAAAAAAAUUCUAAUGUUUUUUUGUCUUAUAUAUCUGAAAAGUACAAUAUGCUAAAUGUCAUGAUGAAGGUGAUGAUAAUCUAGCUGACUACUGUCUCCACACAGCUCAAACAUGCCAUGCGGGUGGAUCGUGUUGAGGAAAAGAAAGAUCAUGUCGUGGUGUACCUUAAUGAGGUGAGAGGAGUCACAGUGAAGAAAAAGGACAGUACUUAGAUGUAUAGAAUUGUUACUAAUCACAUUAUCUUUUUGUCUUUCAUUAGUUGCAGAAAGACACACCCAUCAAUCAUGAGUUAGCGCUCAUACAAGAGCUCCCAGUGCAGAACCUGAAGCCUGCUGUUGUCCUGGUCUACGAUUAUUACCAGCCAAGUAAAUGAUCUUUACACACAAACCCUGAGACUUUAUGUUUAAUAUCACCAUGUUUAAUGUUCAAAGUUUUGUCUCUGAUCUGCCUAUCAGAAAAAUAUUACAUAUGAUCUCAAAAUAUUCUGUGGUUAAUUCAUUAAACUCUAACAAUGCUGCUGCAGCUUUUCAGACAGGCUCAGACCCUGAUUGAAAACCAUAUAAUUAAAUGUAAUAUUUAAUACCCUUGUAAUGUGUCAGAAAUCAUGAUAAUAGUGAAAAACCUAUUUCAAGAUCACGUUUAAGAGGUAAUAUAAGGUAAACUUUAUUGAACCCCCACUGGGGAAAAUUGUUACAGCAACUUAAAAACAAAAGACAGUGGAGCACAACAGUGAACUUUCAAAGUUUGAAUAGAACAAUAUUAAAAGUAAAAAAAGAAUAGCCGUAUAUACAAAUGUACAAUCUGUAAGCAGGUUUUAUCAGCAGGUUGUUAAAAACAGACUUUAUGUAAUGUCAUGAUGACAUGAGUGCGGAUACAGCACUAUAUGAAUAAGUAGAAAUAUGAUCUAGCUAAGAUUGUGACCUUCUUAUACAACUAUGAUAGUAAUACUAUACCCUAUAUGAGGGUAGGUACUGACAUUGCAUUAAUUGUCCUUACAUGCCAGAUACAGGUGCAUCUCAAAGCUUUAAAAUAUUGUAAAAUGGUAAAACGUAUUACCAUUUAGUAAAGACAGUGAUUCAAGGUUAAAGAACCCUGACUCAGUACUGAAUGAAGAAGUGAAUUUUAGCUGUAAAAGUUAUAACUGAAAUCCUUGAUUAAUUGAUGUUAGGAAAAUAUUCAUCAAAGUUGCAACAAAAAAGGCUUAAAAUGUUUCACUUCACUUGCAAUGGCUAUAGAAGAGAAAAAAGAAAAAAAACGACAAAUCAGAGCAACAAAGCAAAUGUUAAAGUGAGCUUGCACCUUGAAGCAAACAACAUCAAGUCUUGGACUCAAGUGCUAAACAAACUUGGCAGACACUAGUCUUAGCUGUUACCAAAGAUGAUCAGCACUCUGAAACUGAGGUCAGUGGGUACUGCGAGUGGGAAACCACAUACCUGGAUGCAGGUCCUAAAUCAAAGAAAACUAAAAUAGGUUCAUGAUUAAAAGUCCAGACUUUAAAAGGAUCUCUAGACUGAGGGACACAGUAUGUUUGUUUGUUAUGACUUUUGACGACAAACAGAAAAUCUUACUCAUGUUUUUAUCUAGUUUCUCUUUCUCCCUUUUUCUAAUUUUUUUUCUCUUGUUUCUUCCCAGGUGACCGGGCAGAGACUCAAUACAUCAGCCCCUGUCCAGGUAAUGGUUUGUGACAGAGUGAAGAGAAGAUCCUUAAAUCAGCCACGGGUGGUAGAUAUCACUGCCAGGGACCCUUGCUUGGUCAUAGAUUAAGAAACUAACAGAUCAUGAAAGCAAUAGCAAGGCGACCUUGAGUAAAAAAAGUCAAAUUGCUGUUUGGGUUUGGUGGCAUUGAGGUAGGGGAAUGUACUGCAAGUUUGUCUCAUCUGUGUCUGUAUUAUUAACUAAGAGGGACCCUUAAUUUUAUGACUCCACCUAAAAAAUCAACCCUAACCUCUCAUAAAAGUAAGGGUUUGAACUGGACAUACUGUUAUCAGGUUCUCUUACCUGCUUCGUUAUACUCACUGAAGCCCAUGUGGACAUAUCACAACAUUUUUGAGACAAUUUCUUUAAUAAAAAAAGAAGAAGAAAAAAGACUAAGGACAAAAAAAAAGAAUAAACCCAGUCAUAAAGUGAUUCCCUUUUCAUUUUUCUCUUUACUUGCAGCCUGAACAUCAGUGUUGUCCUGAUCGUCCCAGGAGGAUUCAAAUAAAUCUCUCCACAAGUGAAUUGUGUUAUUUGUUUUUCAUGCAUAUUAGUUAUACCGUCAUAAGGUAUAACAUAUGCCCACCUGGAGGCUGCACAAAAGCUGUGGUGCCAAAAUAAAAACUCUGUAAAAUGAAUCAGUGGUAUCUGUGCAAAAAUUUGCUAAUAAAAUUCAACUGAGUAAUGUCAUUUAAAUAAA
Xyrichtys novacula (pearly razorfish) is the source of this 27917-nucleotide non-coding RNA. The record is from the annotation of a GenBank genome assembly. NCBI's taxonomy places the organism in Eukaryota, Metazoa, Chordata, Actinopteri, Labriformes, Labridae.